UGAGGAAUAUUGGUCAAUGGGUGCAAGCCUGAACCAGCCAUCCCGCGUGAAGGACGACUGCCCUAUGGGUUGUAAACUUCUUUUGUAUAGGGAUAAACCUACCCUCGUGAGGGUAGCUGAAGGUACUAUACGAAUAAGCACCGGCUAACUCCGUGCCAGCAGCCGCGGUAAUACGGAGGGUGCAAGCGUUAUCCGGAUUUAUUGGGUUUAAAGGGUCCGUAGGCGGACUUAUAAGUCAGUGGUGAAAGCCUGUCGCUUAACGAUAGAACUGCCAUUGAUACUGUUAGUCUUGAGUAUAUUUGAGGUAGCUGGAAUAAGUAGUGUAGCGGUGAAAUGCAUAGAUAUUACUUAGAACACCAAUUGCGAAGGCAGGUUACCAAGAUAUAACUGACGCUGAGGGACGAAAGCGUGGGAAGCGAACA
RNAcentral lists this ribosomal RNA (422 nucleotides) under uncultured bacterium. RNAcentral describes it as "bacterial SSU rRNA". It matches the Rfam family "Bacterial small subunit ribosomal RNA", at positions 355 to 774 of the family's 1533-position model. The record is from RNAcentral.